UACGUAGGGUGCGAGCGUUGUCCGGAAUUAUUGGGCGUAAAGAGCUCGUAGGCGGUGUGUCGCGUCGGCCGUGAAAACCUGGGGCUUAACUCUGGGCGUGCGGUCGAUACGGGCAUCACUGGAGUUCGGCAGGGGAGACUGGAAUUCCUGGUGUAGCGGUGAAAUGCGCAGAUAUCAGGAGGAACACCGGUGGCGAAGGCGGGGUCUCUGGGCCGAUACUGACGCUGAGGAGCGAAAGCGUGGGGAGCGAACAGG
Molecule: ribosomal RNA, 255 nt
Filed under: uncultured bacterium
Lineage: Bacteria
Description: partial 16S ribosomal RNA
Rfam family: Bacterial small subunit ribosomal RNA
Source: RNAcentral